This 580-nucleotide long non-coding RNA is filed under the name Parus major (Great Tit). RNAcentral describes it as "lncRNA (ENSPMJG00000003182.1)". The record is from RNAcentral. Lineage: Eukaryota; Metazoa; Chordata; Aves; Passeriformes; Paridae.
ACCCCUGAUCCACCCGGGAUCCGCCCGGGAUCCUCUGGGAUCUUCCCGGGGUCCUCCUGGGAUCCUCCGGGAUCCACCUGGAUCUGGGAUCCUCCUGGGAUCCUCCGGGAUCUGCCCGGAUCUGGGAUCCGCCCUGAAACAACCCCUGAUCCACCCGGGAUCCACCCAGGAUCUGCCCGGGGUUCUCCUGGGAUCCGCCCUGAACCAAUCCCUGCUGCUCCCGGGAUCUGGGAUCCGCCCUGAAACAACCCCUGAUCCACCCGGGAUCUGCCCGGGAUCCUCUGGGAUCUUCCCGGGGUCCUCCUGGGAUCCUCCGGGAUCCACCUGGAUCUGGGAUCCGCCCUGAAACAACCUCUGAUCCACCCGGGAUCCGCCCGGGAUCCUCUGGGAUCCGCCCGGGGUCCUCCUGGGAUCCGCCCUGAACCAAUCCCUGCUCCUCCCAGAUUUGGGAUCUGCCCUGGAUCAACCCCUGAUCCUCCUGGGAUCUGGGGUUUUUGGGAUCCCCCCCUGAACCAAUCCCUGCUUUUCCCGGGAUCCUCCGGGAUCUGGGAUCCCCCCAGGAUCAACCCCUGCUCCUCCC